RNAcentral lists this ribosomal RNA (466 nucleotides) under uncultured bacterium. Its description in RNAcentral is "partial 16S ribosomal RNA". It matches the Rfam family "Bacterial small subunit ribosomal RNA", at positions 28 to 507 of the family's 1533-position model. The record is from RNAcentral.
GAUGAACGCUGGCGGCGUGCUUAACACAUGCAAGUCGAACGGAAAGGCCCCUGCUUGCAGGGGUACUCGAGUGGCGAACGGGUGAGUAACACGUGGGUGAUCUGCCCUGCACUUCGGGAUAAGCCAGGGAAACUGGGUCUAAUACCAGAUAGGACGAUGGUUUGGAUGCUAUUGUGGAAAGUUUUUUCGGUGUUGGUUGAGCACGCGGCCUAUCAGCUUGUUGGUUGGGUAUUGGCCUACCAAGGCGUCGACGGGUAGCCGGCCUGAGAGGGUGUACGGCCACAUUGGGAUUGAGAUACGGCCCAGACUCGUACGGGAGGCAGCGGUGGGGAAUGGUGCACAAUGGGAGCAGGCCUGAUGCAGCCACGCCGCGUGGGGGAUGACGGCCUUCGGGUUGGAAACUCCUUUCGCUAGGGACGAAGCGAAAGUGACGGUACCUGGAGAAGAAGCACCGGCUAACUACGUG